CAGUAGCCGCGGGAAUACGUAGGUGGCGAGCGUUGUCCGGAAUUAUUGGGCGUAAAGGGAGCGCAGGCGGACAUAUAAGUCCAUCUUAAAAGUGCGGGGCUCAACCCCGUGAGGGGAUGGAAACUGUAUGCCUUGAGUGCAGGAGAGGAAAGCGGAAUUCCCAGUGUAGCGGUGAAAUGCGUAGUUAUUGGGAGGAACACCAGUGGCGAAGGCGGCUUUCUGGACUGUAACUGACGCUGAGGCUCGAAAGCCAGGGGAGCGAACGGGAUUAGAUACCCCAGUAGUCCCUGUCUCUUAUACA
RNAcentral lists this ribosomal RNA (301 nucleotides) under uncultured bacterium. RNAcentral's name for it is "partial 16S ribosomal RNA". It matches the Rfam family "Bacterial small subunit ribosomal RNA", at positions 509 to 809 of the family's 1533-position model. The record is from RNAcentral.